GAGCUAGAUAUACAUCUGCCUAAGAGGUUUAGGUGAAGCUAUGCCUAGCACAAAUUGGGGCAUUUAUACUGGGAAAAAAAACAAAUGAACUCUUAAGUUAUCAGCAUUAGUAUCAUUUAAAGAACAAGGCUGAAAAAAGAGAUUAAUGGACAAAUUGAAAAACAGAGAGCACAGGCUCCAACUGAGCUCUAAAUUAGGAGAUGAAGAACUAUUCAGCUUAAACAGGUGUUCCAGUUCUUCUCAAUGGUCCCAACACAUGUAGCUCUGCACCCUCCCCCUGCCCCAAGGUAAUAGGUCUAUUUAUUGAGCUAAUUGUGCCUCUGGAUAAAACAUACAUGUGAGAAAUGGGAGGAAAACAGUAUAAAGACAAAAAUCUACAUGUAGUCUAGAACAAAGAGACAGA
This 403-nucleotide long non-coding RNA is filed under the name Homo sapiens (human). Its description in RNAcentral is "HSALNT0070521". Lineage: Eukaryota; Metazoa; Chordata; Mammalia; Primates; Hominidae. The record is from RNAcentral.